GAUAUUGCACCAGAGCGCUGCAGAGUAAGACUCAUGGCUUAACCUUACCUGCUAGAUCAUAGACCCUUAGUGCUUACAGUCUUUUUUUGAGAACUUAAGUGGCUCUGAAAAGAGCCUUUUGGGUAAAGCCGAUCAAUCACGUCUCUGCUGCACUUCACUUGGAGCUGGUGUACUUGGUGACGGCCUUGGUGCCCUCCGACACUGCGUGUUUGGCCAACUCUCCCGGCAGCAGCAGACGCACGGCCGUCUGGAUCUCCCGGGAAGUGAUGGUCGAGCGCUUGUUGUAAUGCGCCAGACGGGAAGCCUCACCUGCUAUGCGCUCGAAGAUAUCAUUCACGAAGGAAUUCAUGAUUCCCAUAGCCUUAGAUGAGAUGCCCGUGUCCGGGUGCACUUGCUUCAGCACCUUGUACACGUAGACAGAAUAGCUCUCCUUGCGGCUGCGCUUGCGCUUCUUGCCAUCUUUCUUCUGCACUUUCGUGACAGCUUUCUUGGAGCCCUUCUUGGGGGCAGGAGCAGACUUCGCUGGAUCCGGCAUUUUCCUCCGCGUUUAAAGAUGUAAUGUAAGGUAGACCGAGAAACUACGGACUGUUGCAGCGCGGCUUGCUAUGCGGUACUUAUAGAGCUUGUAUGCAAAUGAGGUUUCACACGGUAUUCCAUUUUUAUUGGUUAAUUUACAGCAGUGUCAGCGUCAAGGAGGCGGAGCCUACUCAAACCGCUUCUGGUUGCGCGCCUUGGUGGUGCUUAGAGGAAAGUCUUUCUAGCCAAUCGCAGCCUCCCAUUUCAUGUUAGCCAGUUAAUGAGAGCGGCAGUUUUGCCUCAGCUGUUCUUUAUGUUCCCUUCGCUCAGAUCCUUAAAACACCAGGUUGAAUUAAGUUAACUAUCGCUCUUAGGUAUCUCGCUUAGAAUUAUGGGGCUACUUUUCAGGUUCACAGUUUUGAGAACCUAAUUAGAACUCCUUUUCUGGACUGGCCCAUAUUUGAGUAGUGAGCCCAAGACCAGCUCUAAAUCGAACGAACCUGAGAAUGAGGUUCAAUGUUACUGAGUGAUUACUGGCAAUUGUUAGGCCUGACACACUUGAGGGUGUAUUUGAAACAUUGAAAAUACAAUUGCAAAGGUGACACAGCUACUCUUACUGACAACGUAGGUGGCUCUGAAAAGAGCCUUUGUGGGGGGUGGAUGGGAGACGGGGCGCUCAAGCGCGCUCCCCACGGAUGCGACGGGCCAACUGGAUGUCCUUGGGCAUGAUGGUGACGCGCUUGGCGUGGAUGGCGCACAGGUUCCUGCGCGAUCUCGCGGUGCCGGGCCGGUAGCGGUGCGGCUUCUUCACGCCGCCCGUGGCCGGGGCGCUCUUGCGGGCGGCCUUGGUGGCCAGCUGCUUGCGCGGGGCCUUGCCGCCGGUGGACUUGCGGGCGGUCUGCUUCGUACGGGCCAUAUUUUCGCGACUUCGGCUUGCAGACGCCAAGUGGCCAUACUUAUAGACUUAUCUUCGUCUUGAUUGGGCCCAGAAAGCAGGAGUUUCUGGACUUGCUGUCUGAUUGGGUAGAAUUCGAUCCUAUUUGCUGAGUUUCAAGAUGGUUACACUAUUCCUUCUCUCCUGAUACUUUUCCUUCUUGUAUUUAUGAACCACAGACGGUUUUAAAAAGAUAGUGCUUUUCAGUUGAUGUAACUUUCCUAAAUGCAGUGUUUAAAGUGUUUCUCACGCAGUGUGCUCUUCUAACAGGUUUCUUUGGAAACAAACUUGCCCUUUUCAUGUUCUGCGAUUCACUUUGUAGCGAGUCACCAGAUACUGUAACUCUUCCCCGACAGUUAGCAUUUAUUUAACCUCAGGCAUUGUGCCCAGCGAUUUGAACGCUUUGUACCACGGCUGAAGGAUGACAUAACGAUGUAUAGUGAAAGGAACCAAAUGCAAACUUAAGUUUUACCUACUUCGAAACCCUACCCAAGCCGGUCUUACAUUUACCGCACACUGACUAUCGUUAUGUAUGGCGCUCCCGCCUUUCCUUCCGUCUAGAGUGCGUUCUUUCCACCUCCCUUCUACACUAACGGCCAAUUAAGUCCUGCAGAUGAAAUGUUUAUAUAACAGAAGGAUAAGACUAGAAGUAUUAAUACCGCCUUUCCAGUGGAGAACAGUUACUAAAUAGUUAAACCUGUCACCUAGAUGUCAAAUCAAAAUAACUUUCAAAGCAAAUGAGCAUUUACUUAUUUGAUUCUUUUUCCUUUUCUUUUCGAGACAGGGUUUCUCUGUGUAGCCCUGACUCUUUGACCUCACUCUGUAGACCAGGCUGGCCUCGAACUCAGAAAUCCGCCUGCCUCUGCCUCCCAAGUGCUGGGAUUAAAGGCGUGGGCCACCACAGUAUUUCUGUAUGUAGCCUUGGGUUCCUGAAACUCCAUCUGUAGACCAGGCUGGCCUGUUUCUGCCUCCUGAGUGCUGAGAUUAAAGGUGUGUGCCACUAUGGCCUGGUUCAAAGUAAAGCUUUUAAUAGCAUGCCUGAUUUUUUGGUAAAAAAAAGCAUUGUAUACCAACCUUCUUAAAAUUCAAACCCGAAAGUAAAAAUAGGCCCAAGAUAUUUAAAACUUUCCUUGAGGUGACAAAAAUGUAUUAUCUUUUCGCUGAAAUCCAAGUAAAAUGAAAUUGAUUUUAAGGAGAUUCCAAAAUACUAAACACAGGUAGAAGUUUGGCAGUUUAAUUAAUUUCUUUAAGAAUCCUUCAGGAGCAGAAGUAACCUCCAAAAUAUGGCACAAAAGUAUCACUGAUGGGAACUGUUACUUCUUCCUGUGGUCAUUUCUUAACAAUGUUUUAAGCAUAGUCAGCAAUGCUUCCUAUAGAAGUGGAUCUAGGGUGAGAUGGAUCAGUCGGCAAAGCCUUGAAACACAGAAACAUCUUCUUCAUAUCGUACAAUCAAACCAUUCAGGGCUUCUCAAACGCUGCUGACCUUUCCCAUCAGAAGGGGACCUGCCCUGUGGGGAUGGAUGGUGCCCACACCAGGUAUCGUGUUUCCUGGUAAGAUUUUCUUUGUAAUGUAUGUACUGGAGCACAAAGCAUGUGGGUGUUUAUUUAAAUCAGAAAGAGAUUCUCAAACUUCAGACUCU
RNAcentral lists this long non-coding RNA (3090 nucleotides) under Mus caroli (Ryukyu mouse). Its description in RNAcentral is "predicted gene 20628 (MGP_CAROLIEiJ_G0003407.1)". The record is from RNAcentral. Lineage: Eukaryota; Metazoa; Chordata; Mammalia; Rodentia; Muridae.